UACGGGGGGGGCAAGCGUUGUUCGGAAUUACUGGGCGUAAAGGGCUAGUAGGCGGCCGACUAAGUCGGAUGUGAAAUCCCCAGGCUCAACUUGGGAACUGCAUCCGAUACUGGUUGGCUUGAAUCCGGGAGAGGGAUGCAGAAUUCCAGGUGUAGCGGUGAAAUGCGUAGAUAUCUGGAGGAAUACCGGUGGCGAAGGCGGCAUCCUGGACCGGCAUUGACGCUGAUCAGCGAAAGCCAGGGGAGCAAACGGG
Molecule: ribosomal RNA, 253 nt
Filed under: uncultured bacterium
Lineage: Bacteria
Description: partial 16S ribosomal RNA
Rfam family: Bacterial small subunit ribosomal RNA
Source: RNAcentral